Long non-coding RNA from Impatiens glandulifera, 412 nucleotides. RefSeq lists it as uncharacterized. NCBI's taxonomy places the organism in Eukaryota, Viridiplantae, Streptophyta, Magnoliopsida, Ericales, Balsaminaceae. The record is from RefSeq and is a predicted model, not a curated record. The transcript is spliced from 2 exons.
ACAUAGUACUCCUAUAUAUAUAUCGCAGGCGUAGGUCAUUCACUUAUCGCGCGGCGGAAGGAAGGAGGGGUUUCAUCAGAAAUAUCAACGAGUUAAGCAAGUUGUAAGCGAGAUCCACUUCAACAAUGAGGGCUAAGUGGAAGAAGAAGAGAAUGAGGAGGUUGAAGAGGAAGCGUCGAAAGAUGAGACAGCGAUCCAAGUAGAGUGAUGAUCAUCUUCUUGGUCACAAAUAAUGAGAGUUUUUUUAUGGCUUCCAUUUUCCUUAUCAUCCACAUGUUAGGGUUUAUGGUGGUGUAAUGCAGUUUAUUAUCUUUUCUGGACUUACUCUUUGUGUCAUCGCAGUAGUGGUUUUGAUACAAUUAUAUGUCAAGGAUUUUAGUAGAUCAUUAUAAUUAAUCUUAUUUUGACUCUU